RNAcentral lists this ribosomal RNA (513 nucleotides) under uncultured Planococcus sp. Its description in RNAcentral is "partial 16S ribosomal RNA". The record is from RNAcentral. Lineage: Bacteria; Bacillati; Bacillota; Bacilli; Caryophanales; Caryophanaceae.
CACGUAGUUAGCCGUGGCUUUCUGGUGAGGUACCGUCAAGGUACCAGUAGUUAGUUGGUACUUGUUCUUCCCUCACAACAGAGUUUUACGAUCCGAAAACCUUCGUCACUCACGCGGCGUUGCUCCGUCAGACUUGCGUCCAUUGCGGAAGAUUCCCUACUGCUGCCUCCCGUAGGAGUCUGGGCCGUGUCUCAGUCCCAGUGUGGCCGAUCACCCUCUCAGGUCGGCUACGCAUCGUCGCCUUGGUGGGCCAUUACCCCACCAACUAGCUAAUGCGCCGCGGGCCCAUCCUGCAGUGACAGCCGAAACCGUCUUUCCGUGGAACCUCAGGAGAGGUUCCAAACUAUUCGGUAUUAGCACCGGUUUCCCGGAGUUAUCCCGAUCUGCAGGGCAGGUUGCCCACGUGUUACUCACCCGUCCGCCGCUAAACGCUUGGAGCAAGCUCCAAGUGUUCCGCUCGACUUGCAUGUAUUAGGCACGCCGCCAGCGUGUCCUGAGCAGGACUCAAACUCU